RNAcentral lists this ribosomal RNA (425 nucleotides) under uncultured bacterium. RNAcentral describes it as "partial 16S ribosomal RNA". It matches the Rfam family "Bacterial small subunit ribosomal RNA", at positions 354 to 796 of the family's 1533-position model. The record is from RNAcentral.
GUGGGGAAUAUUGCACAAUGGGCGAAAGCCUGAUGCAGCGACGCCGCGUGAGCGAAGAAGUAUUUCGGUAUGUAAAGCUCUAUCAGCAGGGAAGAUAAUGACGGUACCUGACUAAGAAGCACCGGCUAAAUACGUGCCAGCAGCCGCGGUAAUACGUAUGGUGCAAGCGUUAUCCGGAUUUACUGGGUGUAAAGGGAGCGCAGGCGGUGCGGCGAGUCGGAUGUGAAAGCCCGGGGCUCAACCCCGGUACUGCAUUGGAAACUGUCGUACUUGAGUAUCGGAGAGGUAAGUGGAAUUCCUAGGGUAGCGGUGAAAGGCGUAGAUAUUAGGAGGAACACCAGUGGCGAAGGCGGCUUACUGGACGAUAACUGACGCUGAGGCUCGAAAGCGUGGGGAGCAAACAGGAUUAGAUACCCGAGUAGUCC